CAGUAAAUAGUUUAUGUUAAAAUAUUAAUUUUGGAUAUUAAAGAAAUUUAUUUUUUACUGA
Molecule: transfer RNA, 61 nt
Filed under: Tropidocephala brunnipennis
Lineage: Eukaryota; Metazoa; Arthropoda; Insecta; Hemiptera; Delphacidae
Description: tRNA-Pro
Source: RNAcentral